AGUGAACGCUGGCGGUAGGCCUAACACAUGCAAGUCGAACGGCAGCACAGUAAGAGCUUGCUCUUACGGGUGGCGGGUGGCGGACGGGUGAGGAAUACAUCGGAAUCUACUUUUUCGUGGGGGAUAACGUAGGGAAACUUACGCUAAUACCGCAUACGACCUACGGGUGAAAGCAGGGGAUCUUCGGACCUUGCGCGAUUGAAUGAGCCGAUGUCGGAUUAGCUAGUUGGCGGGGUAAAGGCCCACCAAGGCGACGAUCCGUAGCUGGUCUGAGAGGACGAUCAGCCACACUGGAACUGAGACACGGUCCAGACUCCUACGGGAGGCAGCAGUGGGGAAUAUUGGACAAUGGGCGCAAGCCUGAUCCAGCCAUACCGCGUGGGUGAAGAAGGCCUUCGGGUUGUAAAGCCCUUUUGUUGGGAAAGAAAAGCAGCAGGUUAAUACCCCGCUGUUCUGACGGUACCCAAAGAAUAAGCACCGGCUAACUUCGUG
This 492-nucleotide ribosomal RNA is filed under the name uncultured bacterium. RNAcentral describes it as "partial 16S ribosomal RNA". It matches the Rfam family "Bacterial small subunit ribosomal RNA", at positions 29 to 507 of the family's 1533-position model. The record is from RNAcentral.